CCAUUGGUAGCUCAUUGGUAGAGCACCCUCGCAAGAGGGCUGUAGCAGGUUCGACUCCUGCCCAUUCAUCC
Molecule: transfer RNA, 71 nt
Filed under: compost metagenome
Description: tRNA-Leu
Rfam family: tRNA (bases 5-64)
About the family: Transfer RNA (tRNA) molecules are approximately 80 nucleotides in length. Their secondary structure includes four short double-helical elements and three loops (D, anti-codon, and T loops). Further hydrogen bonds mediate the characteristic L-shaped molecular structure. tRNAs have two regions of fundamental functional importance: the anti-codon, which is responsible for specific mRNA codon recognition, and the 3' end, to which the tRNAs corresponding amino acid is attached (by aminoacyl-tRNA synthetases). tRNAs cope with the degeneracy of the genetic code in two manners: having more than one tRNA (with a specific anti-codon) for a particular amino acid; and 'wobble' base-pairing, i.e. permitting non-standard base-pairing at the 3rd anti-codon position.
Source: RNAcentral